RNAcentral lists this ribosomal RNA (253 nucleotides) under uncultured bacterium. Its description in RNAcentral is "partial 16S ribosomal RNA". It matches the Rfam family "Bacterial small subunit ribosomal RNA", at positions 524 to 776 of the family's 1533-position model. The record is from RNAcentral.
UACGUAGGGGGCGAGCGUUGUCCGGAUUUAUUGGGCGUAAAGAGCGUGUAGGCGGUUCGGUAAGUCUGUCGUGAAAUCCUGAGGCUCAACCUCGGGCGUGCGAUGGAUACUGCCGGGCUAGAGGAUGGUAGAGGCGAGUGGAAUUCCCGGUGUAGCGGUGAAAUGCGCAGAUAUCGGGAAGAACACCCGUGGCGAAGGCGGCUCUCUGGGACGGUACUGACGCUGAGACGCGAAAGCGUGGGGAGCGAACAGG